CAAGAAGGGAGUUAGCAGGGGUGUUCAUCUGAGUAAAUAAAAAUGAAGAUGAACAUUUGGUGAUCUUUACGAUAACUAUUAAAUAGUAUAAAUAAUAGAAUUAGCAACUAAAAACUUUACAGUUAGGAAAACUAAAUAUGGGCUGCCUAUUGAGUGGUUGUUGCAGGAGUAAACCAAGGUGAACAAGAUGCAGAUGCAAAAGGAUUGAGCAUCCAAGGGAAAUUCAACUAGAGAUGAUAUGGAGCUUGUCGGCUAUGUUUCCUAUGAAUAUAUCCCCUAGGACGCAGUGAGGACCGGCACUCAAGUGCCACCGACAGCUUAUAAUAUGGUCCCAAGUUAUUACU
RNAcentral lists this long non-coding RNA (344 nucleotides) under Oryza brachyantha (malo sina). RNAcentral's name for it is "long non-coding RNA (OBRA_LNC002916)". Lineage: Eukaryota; Viridiplantae; Streptophyta; Magnoliopsida; Poales; Poaceae. The record is from RNAcentral.